AUGCUUAAGACUGAAUACAUCAGAGUAGCCUCACCAAUACCAAGAAUAAUGGGAGGACUAUCUUGCCAUCCUUAUGUCAUUUACUUUCCCACUGUCAUGUCCAUGUUCAGUGUUUUUCAGGAAGAAGACGCCCAUCUUCUCAUUGAGCAAGUGCAAAGAGUCAAACACAUCUCACUGAGCCACACUGCACCUGGAGAUGUAUCCAGGGGGAGAUAUGCAAAAAUGCACAGCAGCCCCAGGUUUCCUCCUAGCAUUUCCUGUCAGCUGUCUGGCUAUCUACCAGGGAAAAAGAAAAACCUCCUAAUACGGUUCCUGUGGGAAUUUGAAUUACAGUGAGACUGACCUGGAUUUGACUUUGCCUGAAUGAAACUCGUCCUUGUUCUCAGCCAUGUGUCAUCAGAAGUAGAAAUCUGGAGGUGGAUGUGAUCGAUGUGCUGGCUCUUCGGAAAUAAUGCAGCUAGAGAGGCUACAUACAAAAGAUGUUGUAUUUCAAGUCCCUUAAGUGGCUUUAUGCAAAACAAGUCAUGUUACACUGCCUAAAAGAAGACAAACCCAGCAGCAGAGUGUUCACAAAACAAUAAGCCAUGCUCUUUCCUCCUCUACAUGGUCUUUAUAAUAGUCGAAUUAGCUUACAUUAUUUUGUUAGCUAAAACCUAUAAUAAAGAUGUAGUAAGAACCUCUCA
RNAcentral lists this long non-coding RNA (683 nucleotides) under Felis catus (domestic cat). RNAcentral describes it as "lncRNA (ENSFCAG00000052230.1)". The record is from RNAcentral. Lineage: Eukaryota; Metazoa; Chordata; Mammalia; Carnivora; Felidae.